This 744-nucleotide ribosomal RNA is filed under the name Triticum aestivum (bread wheat). Its description in RNAcentral is "partial small subunit ribosomal RNA". The record is from RNAcentral. Lineage: Eukaryota; Viridiplantae; Streptophyta; Magnoliopsida; Poales; Poaceae.
AUGAAUUGCCUUAGUUGGAACUGCCGGGGAGGGGGGAACACCCGGACAGUACGUGAGCUAGCGAUGUUGUGUAAGUCGCAUUCCCCCAUGUUGGUCUUUUUGUGUGAAACGAGACAAAAGGAAGAGAAGAUGAAACGGAUCCAAGCUAAACUUGGAUUGAAGGGCUUUUGUUGAGUGGAUAGUAAUGGAUUAAGCUGUGGCUUGGCACUAUAUUGGAGGGAAGAAUGUGUUGUUGAUGUUUUGGACAAGGAUGACAGAUUUAUUGACAUUGUUAUCAAAGCCCGAGAAGAUGCACCGGAGUGGAGAGCUACCUUUGUAUAUGGGGAGCCACGGGUGGAAAAUAGACACCUAAUAUGGACUAAGUUACGGAAUCUGAAAGUUGCUAAUAAUUUGCCCUGGCUGGUUAUAGGUGACUUUCAUGAAGCCAUGUGGGAUUUUAAGCAUUUAUCGAUCACGCCGAGGGCGGAAGCACAGAUGAUAGCCUUCAGGAAUACCUUGGAGGUGUGUGAUCUAGUUGAUCUUGGGUUCACGGGCCUUCCUUUCACAUACGAUAAUAGAAGAGCGAGGUCGGCUAACGUCAAAGUGAGAUUGGACCGUGCGGUAGCUACAAAUGAUUGGCGUAAUCUGUUCGCCUUUGCUGCUGUGGAGCACAUACCGUCUCCAUGUUCAGAGCACCUAGUUGUGUUUCUUAAAGGAGGACUGGACCCGGGACCGGUGAAGGAGAAAGCAAUUUUAGUUCUAUAA